AAUGCUGUUUAUUUAUGAGCAAUCCUUCAAACUGUGUCAAAACUGGUGAACCAAAAGUGUGUAACCCUAAAGGAAUGAACACUCAGAGAAGACCGCUAUUCAAUUAGAGUCUAUUUUGAUCGCUGUGAUACAUUGUUACAUUAUUGUUGGCCCACCAUACCAAAACUAGAUUUAUUGGUCCACCGGGAGAAUAAAAAAUUGACAAAUUAUGGAUAAACUCGUAAGCCUACUGAAAGUUCAAGGCUUAAUCCUAAUGGUAAAUUGUCAGUAUCCAUUCAUGCUCAACAGAUUUUUGAUAGAAUUGAUUCUAUUACAAUUUACCUUUGAGUUUUUCCACUCGAAGUGAGGAAUCAUUUGCUCUUUCUUUAGCUUUAAGACUUGAGUUGAGUUAAAUGUUGAGUCAAGCAAAAAUAAGUUCAAUUCUAUUGAAUCUUCAAUUGAUCAUUGAAUUUGGUGAACUUGAAAGGGAAUACGGUUUUCCAUUACAUUCAAUUGGUAGGUGAAAAUCAUACCGAUUCAUCAUGGUUUCUUAUCUAUUUAUUUUGACUUUCCAUGAUGAUGAGAUAAAAUAAAUGCCGAGUUGGUUAACAAUAGCUUCUAAUGGUUUACAAUUUUUAUACUCCAGGCAUUUUUCAUUAGAUUUUCAGCUCACAAUUUUGUCAUUUGUUCACUUGUCAAAUUAUAUGCUCAAACCAAGUCUAAUACUAAUUUACAUUUUCCUCUUCUAUUGCAGAGUUUACAAAAUUGGAUUCAUAAAAAAUUCAUACAUUUUAGGAAAAACUAUUCGUUAUGGAAUUCGUUAUACUGGACUUCAAAACAUUUAAUGGACUAAGUUAAUUUUGCCGAGAAAACAUGAGAUCAAAUUUCAUGACAUUCACCCACAAAAAUUGUCAUUAUUACAUCCAUCAUCUUCCAUGAGUUUCGGAAAUCUAUGGGUACAGAUUGAAAAAAAUAUCUAACCAAUGUUAAUCAAAAUCUUAUCAAUCUUAUUCUCUUUUCUCGCAACUUUAACAGAAAUUCUUGAUUCAAUGGAUGAACGGAUAUCAAAAAAGCUCACCAAGACAAGAGGAGCAUCUAAAAAAAUGAUACCACAAGCCACACAUCAUUGCCCUUUCAAGUUUAUUUUUUUCAAAGCCAUCUCCAGAAGCUGAAGCUGAAACCAAGCUAUGCAGAGACCAAUCUUGUUUGAAAUCUGACUUCAUAAUUACCAGUGUCUGAAUGGUAACAACAAUUUUCAUGUCAGUUUUAGUCAAUCAGUUCUAAUGGUCACUCUGCUCAAAUACUCACCCUUUCAUUUUGAGCUGGAAAGGAGGAAAAGCAACUCGAAUCAUACACAUUGUAUUUACCAUUUCUUGAGAAAAAAAAGGUAAUCGAAUUGAGAGGGAACAGGAGCAGAAACCGUAGGAAAAGUUACUAAUUUUGCGUUUCAUCUAUAAUUAUUUUCAGUUAAUUCAAGGUAUCCAUUACUUUUGGUUCCAAGGAAAAGCAAUCAACAACAAUGUGUCUAAGACUACCAUGGGGCUGUUAACGAUCCCAUUGCUUUCGUAA
Molecule: small RNA, 1548 nt
Filed under: Tetranychus urticae (two-spotted spider mite)
Lineage: Eukaryota; Metazoa; Arthropoda; Arachnida; Trombidiformes; Tetranychidae
Description: sRNA tetur03g03910
Source: RNAcentral